GAUGAACGCUAGCUACAGGCUUAACACAUGCAAGUCGAGGGGAAACGAUGAGAGAGCUUGCUCUCUUAGUCGUCGACCGGCGCACGGGUGAGUAACGCGUAUCCAACCUGCCUCUGACCAAGGGAUAACCCGUCGAAAGUCGGAAUAAUACCUUAUGCAGUCGUCGGAAGUCAUCUGAUGACGACGAAAGAUUUCAUCGGUGAGAGAUGGGGAUGCGUCUGAUUAGCUUGUUGGCGGGGUAACGGCCCACCAAGGCGACGAUCAGUAGGGGUUGUGAGAGGAAGGUCCCCGGCAUUGGGACUGGGACACGGUCCAAACUCCUACGGGAGGCAGCAGUGAGGAAUAAUGGUCAAUAGGCGUAAGCCUGAAACAGCCAAGGAGCGUGGAGGAUGACGGCCUUAUGGGUUGUAAACUGCUUUUAUGCGGGGAUAAAGUGAGGGACGUGUCCUUCAUGGCGGGAACCGCAUGAAUAAGGACCGGUUAAUUCCGU
RNAcentral lists this ribosomal RNA (490 nucleotides) under uncultured bacterium. Its description in RNAcentral is "partial 16S ribosomal RNA". It matches the Rfam family "Bacterial small subunit ribosomal RNA", at positions 28 to 506 of the family's 1533-position model. The record is from RNAcentral.